AAUUGGAGACCCGCCUUUUGAGAUCUGGAGAUGGAUUUUGUAGCUUUUUGGAGUUUUCCUCUGCCACCCACCGAUUUGGUUGCUGUUGUUGAACGCAUGUUUAAGGUAGGUGUCCAAUUUGAAUUGCUUUCCCGGUACGUUUUCCCACUAUUACAUUCUUCUGUGUUUAUAUAGAGUGGUUGUGAAUUGUUUUGAUUGGUUGGCUUAGCUUCCGCACGGAUCGCCAACGUGGAU
Molecule: long non-coding RNA, 234 nt
Filed under: Nicotiana benthamiana
Lineage: Eukaryota; Viridiplantae; Streptophyta; Magnoliopsida; Solanales; Solanaceae
Description: long non-coding RNA (NBEN_LNC002355)
Source: RNAcentral